GUUGUUUUUAUAAUUUAGACAUUUAUUGUUGUUACAAUACGUAUAUAUUAUUUAUUUGAAUAAAUAAAUUAAUUAGAAAAGUAAUUAUUAUUUUUUUUUAAAAUGUCAAAAUAUUCAAAACAUCGCGAUCAAAAAAUAAAUCGCAGUUACAAAAUUUAUGGAAUUUUAUCGUGAUAAUUUUAAAUAAAGUCUUCCUGUAGUUUUUUAAAUAAUUUUUUUAUAAAUAGUGAAAUGAGCUGGAAGUGUAUUGUCAUUGUAUUGACGAUUGAGGUCUGGUCAUCAAACUCAGCAGACCUGGCAAUAGAAAUCCCUGGGAAUCUGACCCAACACGGCACAUGGUACCGUUUGGACUACAACCCACCAGUUGGGGACCCACCACCCAAUACCCGGAUCCCCGCUGUAGACAUCGGAGACGUGAUAAAGUUUCAAAACGGCCUACCGGGAACUAAAUACGAGUUCUGGUUGUAUUACAACAAUGGAACCUUGCAUGACUGGUUAACAUGGACCGCGUCUAUAACGACAGCACCCGACCCACCAUCAAACCUGACUGUCCUAGUCAGGAACGGCAAGACCGCGAUCGUCUACUGGUCGCCUCCCGCGCAAGGCAACUACUCGGGCUUCCGAAUGCGCGUCCAAAGCUUCAACGACGCGACAAAUCCUCCAUCCACAACUCGUACUAGCGUAAUUUCUGCAGACGCGAUUCCUUAUACCCUUCGCGAUCUGACCCCCGGUGCCACGUACUCGCUCCAGCUCUUUACCGUACUCGAGGCCAAAGAGAGUGUCGCCUACACCAGUCGUAAUUUUACCACCAAACCCAACACUCCAGGCAAAUUCAUCGUCUGGUUCCGUAAUGAAACGACUUUGCUAGUACUUUGGCAGCCACCUUACCCUGCUGGGAUCUACACCCACUACAAGGUGAGCAUCGAGCCACCAGAUGCAAUCGAAUCAGUAUUUUACGUUGAGAAAGAAGGCGAGCCACCUGGACCAGCUCAGGCGGCAUUCAAAGAUCUGGUGCCUGGUCGCGCUUACAACAUCUCCGUCCAAACGGUCUCUGAAGACGAGACGUCUGCGCCCACUACUGCUCAAUAUCGGACUGUACCUCUAAGGCCACUUAAUGUUACAUUUGAUCGUUCUUCCAUUACCUCCAGUAGCUUUCGUGUCUUCUGGAGUCCACCUAAUGGCUCGUCUGAGUUCGAUAAGUACCAGGUGUCAUUAGGCAGCAAUAGACGUUUUCCUCCAGUUACGCGGAAUCGCUACGAAGAAGACAGCACCAUGUGGGAGUUUAAUGAUCUAGAAGCUGGUAAAUCCUACCAAGUUGUUGUCAAAACCGUUUCCGGCAAAGUCACCAGCUGGCCAGCGAGUGGUGACAUCACAUUGAAACCACUUCCAGUCCGUGAUCUGCGUGCUAGCAUUGACGAGCGUAUGCUUGAAGUUUCUUGGCGACCUGACAAUGCCAGCACUCAGGACAGCUAUCGGCUAGAGUAUCAUGAAGUUGACUCGACCUCCAUUACCGGUGACAGCAACACACUGACUAUUGAAAAAACUCGCGUUGUCCUGGAAGCGCUACUACCUGGUAGGAAUUACACGAUAAUAGUCGCAGCGAUCUCCAACAAAGUCGAGUCUAAUGAAACGAUAAUUUACCAGGUGACGAGGCCUUCGAGUCCGAUCAUCGAAGACCUCAAGUCCAUUGAACGUGGACUGAAUAUCUCGUGGAAGAGUGACGUUAACUCACGGCAAGAAAAGUUCGAAAUAACUCACACGCGAAAUGAUACCGGGGAAAGCGCAACCACGUUGACGACCGAGUCCCAUAUUAUCCUGGAAGAUCUGUACCCUGGAGCGGGGUACGAGGUGAAGGUCUUUGCGAUCAGUCACGGUCUUAAGAGCGAACCCCAUGACUAUUUCCAAGCGGUCUUGCCCCAUCCACCCCAGCAUUUGAGAAUCGAUCGCGUUGAUCAGCAUAACAAGUCAGUAUUUGUGCACUGGAGUCCACCAAUCAGUUCGCUCUUCAGUGAGUACACCAUCAGAUACCGCACUGAAGACGAGCCUCACUGGACCAGGCUGCCUAGUGUCCGUAGAACCGAAGCAGAGGUUACAGAAAUGACUCCCGGAGAACGAUACACCAUCCAAGUCAACACAGUGAGCUUUGGCGUUGAAAGCCUCUACCCGCUGCAAGUAAACCACACCGUAGCACCCAACCCCGUGGUCAAUAUCACCCCCGUCAUUGAUUCGACCAACGUUACCCUCGAGUUCGUCCGUCCUGCAGGCAGAAUUGAGCUCUUCAUCAUCACAUGGUGGCCUACGGACAAUCUGUCAGACGUCAGGUCCAAGAACGUCACCGGGCUGGACGAUGAGUCCGAGCACGACCUAGAGGAGAAGACCGAGAGGUUCGUAGUCGAGGGCCUUAUGCCAGGUGCCGAGUACUCUUUCUCUAUCAUUACGACAUCCUACGAGCUGUUUAGCGACGUAACCAAUAUUACAAGUCGCACGAUGCCCCUGAUUCAGUCUGAGGUCGUGAUCGUUGUCGACCGUGACGUUGUCAAUGUCCUGGCGCUACGUUACACUCCAACGCCGAUUCUAUCGUCACGGUUCGAUCUCUACAGGUUCCGUAUCAGUGACGAAGUGAACACGACCACGGAAAAGCUGGUUGAUGAUAGCGAUACCAAGGUGACCUUCACUAAUUUGACAGCUGGUAGGCUUUACAACGUAACUGCCUGGACCGUGAGCCAUGGGGUUGCUAGUCGGCCGCUCUACCGCCAGGAUCGUCUUUAUCCUCAACCAAUAAUGGCAAUCCAGGCCGUAGAAAUAAACGCCACGUGGAUCAGUCUCACUUGGGAUGUUCCCACUGGGGAAUUCGACGCUUUCGAAGUCCAGUUCAUCAACAGUGAAGGCGUUCUCGUGCAGAACAUCACCACGGACAACCAUAUCACCAUAAAAGACCUACAUCCUUGGCGUAACUACACGUUCACUCUGGUAGUCUGUUCCGGUCAUCAAUCUAACCAUCAUCUGAGACGGUCUCAUCCAGUAAGCGCGAGUUUUACCACCAGCGAAUCAUUCCCCGGUCGCGUAGAGAAGUUCGAUCCCACGGACAUACAGCCCAGUGACAUCAGCUUCCAGUGGCACUUGUCUGCUGCGGAAUUUAAUGGCGUCAUCACUAAAUUCACUAUCACCUACCAAUUGGACGGGUCCAAGCACACUCAGGCCAAGGACUUCAAGGCCACGGAAUCUCGAGGCGUCAUCAAAGGAUUGAUACCCGGUAAAACGUAUGCUUUUAGCAUCCAGGCAAAGACCAAAGUUGGCUACGGCCCGGAAACUGUUUGGAGACAGAAGAUGCCCAUUUUGGCCCCACCUAAACCACCCACUCAGGUCGUGCCAACUGAAGUCUGCCGGACCAGUACCACGAUUCAGAUUAGAUUCAGAAAGAAUUACUUCAGCGAGCAGCAUGGGUCCGUUAUUGCCUACACGGUCAUUGUGGCGGAAGAUGACAGCAAGAAUGCUUCCGGUUUAGAGAUGCCCAGUUGGAGGGACGUUCAGGCCUACAGUAUUUGGCCUCCCUACCAGGUCAUGGAGCCUUACUACCCAUUCAAAAACAGUUCAGUUGAGGACUUUACAAUAGGGACCGAAAACUGUGACCUCAAAUUAGUUGGUUACUGCAAUGGACCUUUGAAAUCUGGGUCUACUUAUCGGGUCAAAGUCCGCGCAUUCACGGCACCCGAUAAAUUUACCGACACCAGUUACAGCUUCGCUAUACAAACUGAAGGAUUGCUGCUAAUGGCAGCCGAUAAGGACAAUACGGCGAUUAUUGUGGGUGUUACUGUGCCAAUUGUUUUGCUGUUGACGUUACUGGGGAUCGGGUUGCUGGUAAGGAGACACAGGAACCAGCUGAGGAAGAUCGCCGAGCCUAGAGGAGGGGGUCCAACGGAUAAUUUGUCAUUGCCGGAUAGUGUCAUCGAGACUAGCCGACCAGUGAGAAUAGAAAACUUCGCCGAGCACUACAGAAUAAUGUCAGCAGAUUCGGACUUCCGGUUCUCCGAAGAGUUUGAGGAACUGAAACAUGUCGGCCGUGACCAGCCGUGCACUGCAGCGGACUUGCCAUGCAAUCGUCCGAAGAAUCGUUUCACCAACAUCCUGCCCUACGACCACAGCCGCUUCAAACUCCAGCCCGUCGACGACGAAGAGGGUUCCGAUUACAUAAACGCAAACUACGUGCCGGGCCACAAUUCUCCACGUGAAUUCAUCGUCACCCAAGGGCCGCUGCACGCGACUCGCGACGACUUCUGGCGCAUGGUCUGGGAGAGUAACAGUCGUGCUAUCGUCAUGCUGACGAGAUGUUUCGAGAAGGGAAGAGAUAAAUGCGACCACUACUGGCCCAUGGACACAGGACCUGUUUAUUAUGGCGAUAUAUCUGUUACUAUACUCAAUGAAACACGUUAUCCUGAUUGGAGUAUCACCGAAUUUAUGCUCUGUCGUGGUGACGUCAAAAGAGUGAUCCAGCACUUCCAUUUCACAACUUGGCCCGAUUUCGGAGUUCCUAGUCCGCCCCAAACUCUCGCGCGGUUCGUGCGAGCGUUCCGUGAGCGAGUGAGACCCGAUCAGCGGCCGAUCGUCGUCCACUGCAGUGCCGGCGUAGGUCGGAGCGGUACUUUUAUAACUCUCGACCGUAUUCUACAGCAGAUCCAGGUCUCCGAUUACGUCGAUAUCUUUGGGAUCGUCUGGAUAAUGCGGAAAGAGCGGGUAUGGAUGGUACAAACAGAGCAACAGUACAUUUGCAUACAUCAGUGUCUGCUUGCGGUUCUCGAGGGCCAAGACACUACGGGACCACCAAGAGAAAUUCACGACAAUGCCGGUUUCGAAGAAAAAAAUCGGUCACUGGAAAAUUCGGUGAAUCAAGAUGAGAAGGAAAGGUGAUGGUCUUGUUAUCAAGACGAUUAUUAUUAUGGAAUUUAUUUAUUAUGUGGAUGAUGAAGGAAUUGCUGAGUCAGGAAUGUGAAGAAUAAAUAACCCGAGCUUUAUACCCGAGAUUAAAACCCUACAGUAAAAAAAAAAAAAAAACAUUUUUUUUUAUCAAUUAUUUUUUCUGUUGACAAAAAAAAAAAUAAAAAAAAAUUUGUCUGUCUGUUUGUUUGAUGAACGGUCACACAAAUCUCCGUCCAAAGAAAAAAAGAGAGAGUAAGUACACAAGUAAUGUGGAUUUGUGAAGUACUUAAAAUUUUUUAAUCAUUUAUUAUUAUUUUCGCACUAGCACAUGCAUUUUUUUUUAGAUUUAUUUUUUUUUUUAUUUAAGAACAAAUAAUUUUUUUGUAGCCAAUGGAUAUUUUUUACGUAAUUGAUGAAAAAAAAAUUUUUUUAUUGUACUAAAGGCGAUUGGUAAUGAGUUUGCUCCACAAGCCGAAGGCUAAUGCAGCAAACACGUCAGUAUCUGGUGUUUUUUUACACGAAAUAGAAUUGAAAAUCGUAAAAAAAUGAUUUUAUUUAUAAAGACUAUCAGUUUAAAUACAUUUGGAUAUUACUUUGCCUCAUGAACCAAAGGCUACUGCAGCAAACACUUGAGUGUCUGCCGUUUCCACGCGAAAAUAGUUGAAAAAUCGAAAAAGAAAUGAUAUUAUUCAAUAUUAUUAGUAGUUUACAUACAUUUGAUUAUAACUUUGCCACACGAGCCGAAGGCUACUGCAGCAAACACUUGAAUGUCUGUCACUAUCACUCGAAAUUAAUUUGCAAAUCGUUAAAAAAACGAUUUUAUCUAUAACCAUUAUUAUUUUUAAUACAUUUUGUUAUUAAUUUGCUUUAUGAGCCAAAGGCUAAUGCAGCAAAUCUUCGAGUAUCCGGCGUUUUUUACGUGAAAUUGAUUUGAAAAUCGUAAAACAAUGACUUUACAUAUAAUUUUUAUUAUUUAAAAUGCCUUUGAUUAUUACUUUGCCUCAUGAGCCAAAGGCUAAUGCAGCAAACAUUCGAGUAAAUCUAUCAUUUUUUACUAAAUCUAGACUUGAGAAAAAAUUAAAUGCAUUGAUAGUUAUUUUCGAUCGAUUUCAUAAUUACUUGGCUUCGCGAGCCAAAGGCUAAUGCAUGACGUUUAAUAUUUUUUUGUUUUAAUUAAAAAUCGACGAAUAACUUGAUAACAAACAAUUUUAUUUGCAACUCUCAUAAAUGCAUUCAAUAACUUUGCUUCAAAAGCCAAUGGCUAAUGUAGCAAACGAGUUUCCUUCUUUUGUUUUUAAUGACUAAGACUUUGAAAAAAUCUCGUGACUCCUGUCAUAACUCCCGUAGUAAUUAGUUUGCUCCACGAGCCAAAGGCUGCUGCAGCAAAUUAAUAGUGCGACCACAGAAAAAUCAUUCACAGACGCUCCUAAAUAACUAUUAUCGUAAAAAAACUCUUGAAAUUUAAAAAUUAGAGUUUGUUUGCUCCACUAGCCUUCCGGCUCCUGAAGCCAAUUCGUUACCAAACGCCCAAUUUUAUCGGAAAAAAAUUUUUUUUUUCGUAAUUUACAAUUCUCAUGAAAAUGUCAAUUAUUUACUCACCGGCUACAAAAAAAAAACUCAAUUAAAAAUGACAAUUAUUAUUUUUUAAGUAAAUUUAAAUUUUAUAAUUAAGAAAACACGGACGUAUCCAGUUUUAAAAAUCAAUUAAAUGUACAUAUCAUUAAUGAAUCUCCACAAAAAAAACACAAAGUAAUUAAUUAAUUGAUUAAUUAGCGUAAUACUCUUGUUAUCGUUGCUAUAUUUUUUAUUAUUAUUAUUAAAUAUUAAUUAUUAUUAUUAUUAUUAUUAUUAAUGAAUUAUUAUCUCAUUUUAAAUGGUAUUAUAACUAGUAUUUUUAAAAAAAGUAAUGAAUAAUAUUCCAGUGCCAAUUUAUAAUUUUUAUAAUCGGCACAAGUAAGCAAUUAAAGCCGCAUAUUUUUUAUAUAUAAAUUUUAUUAAUUUAUCAUUGGUCACAAAUUAUUAUUUUUAAUUGGUAUAAUUAUUUAUUUUGUGAAAAAAUUAAUGAACAAAUUUUAGAUUUAAAAUAAUAAAUAUUAAAAAUUAAGAUAAAUAUCAAAGGAUCAAA
This is an RNA transcript of Microplitis mediator, 7039 nucleotides long. It is a transcript of the gene named tyrosine-protein phosphatase 10D, with no coding region annotated. The transcript is spliced from 9 exons. NCBI's taxonomy places the organism in Eukaryota, Metazoa, Arthropoda, Insecta, Hymenoptera, Braconidae. The record is from RefSeq and is a predicted model, not a curated record.